Molecule: unclassified non-coding RNA, 240 nt
Filed under: soil metagenome
Description: partial contains 5.8S ribosomal RNA, internal transcribed spacer 2, and large subunit ribosomal RNA
Source: RNAcentral
AAGACUAUAGACCUGCGGAGUACCUGCGGAAGGAUCAUUAUUGAAUUAUGUUUCUAAAUGGGUUGUAGCUGGCUCGUCAGAGCAUGUGCACGCCUGUUUGGACUUCAUUUUCAUCCACCUGUGCACCUAUUGUAGUCUUUGGUUGGGUAUCAAGGAAGUGGUCAGCCUAUCGGCACUUGCUGGAUGUGAGGACUUGCAGUGUGAAAGCUUUGCUGUCCUUUACUUGAUCAUGGAGUUGUU